GGUUUCACUCCCCCACAAAAAGAAUACACUUUGAAUCCUAACCCAAAAUUCACCUUCCCUUUAAAACAAGACAGAUUAUAUCUUGGAUUUCUAUUCAAGCAAUUUAUGAUACACAAAAAGGAAAAAAAAAACAGCUAACAGUCAAGCAGUGUUUUUAUUGCCUUUUUUUUUAAUCUACUAGUUCCAAACCAGAUGCACUCAGUACAGAAUUCUGAUUAGGAAAAAAAAAAUGGCUGUUGAAUUUUUAUUAUUAUCUCCCUUAAGGACGAAAAGCGGUAACCCUAGGCAUUUAAAGUGUACUAUGAAUAACAAUACAUAUGAGAGUGUAAAAAGCUUGUUAUCUCUGUUUCUGGAAUUUUUUUACCCUGUUGAAACAUUUAUGGAAAGAAGUUGGGAAAUACAGUGCAGGGGGGGAGGGAGAAGAAGCUAUCAAAAUAACAAAUACCAUCAAAUAAAACCUAUUUUGAAAGGAAAAACCUACGCAGUACGAAAUUUGUGUGAACCAUGUCUCUUCGUUACCAGCCUGCAGCUCUCAUGUAGUCAGUGGAGUCUCAUUUAAGCUUAUAUUAAAAGCCUUCAUCUACAUACAUCUCACACAUCGAUACAAAUGCAGUUUGUAUUUAACCCUGACAAAUAACCACUCAUGAUAGCAACGUUCUGCAUACAUAGAUUUUCUUCUUUUAUAAACAACAUAAACACAAGUAAGUCCUUCUGGAUGUUUCAAAACAGCUCACUGGAUUCAAAGGUACGUCUUCUCUCCCAUCCCCUCACAUUAUGACCCAUAACCACCUGGCACAUAUUUGAAAGGUUUCCACCACAUAUCUCCCUGUUACAGGAUGACUUUCCUCCCCGUGUUAUAGUGCAACUUCAUCCCUACAGGGAGAAAAACCCCGUACAAACUGCAGCUAAGCAAUGCAGUCCUUUCUCCUUCAGAAACUGGCUUACAACCUCUCCAAAAAAAUGUAGGGAAGCUGUCAGAAUAAAAUUCUACAAACCAGCCAUUUGUGGCACUGGCAUGGUUUCCUUCUGGUAUUUAGGUAAGUCCAAAAAAUAAUUUUUUGAAGUACUUCUAUUGAAUCCUUCCCAUAUUUUCAGCUUUGAGAAUUCACAGGGACCAAAUCCGAGUUACACCGACUCGAGAGCCAGCAGCUUGUAAGAGUACAAAGAAAAUAAUGGAGGGAGGGUGAGACAACUGUGCGCAUCCCUCAGUUUUCAAACUUGCCUGUAAAAAGAAAAUGAGGAUAUGGCCAAAACACAGCAUGUUUCUGCUCUACUCGUGGCAAUAGGUGCAGCCUCCUCCAAUCUAUACUAAAUGGGUUGAUUCAAAGCCCAGAAAGGGGCCAAAAAAGUGAAUUAGUUUUUGUUCUUCUAUGCUAAAAGGAAGAACAGCUGAUGAAGACUUAGGGUCUUCUGUCAACUACUCUGGACAUUUACCAGGCCUUUUGCUGUCUUCUCCCAUUGAGAUCUGUCUAAGUUUCCCUAGGUUGGUGCCUUGGGAGACCAGAUGCAACAGUAAGCAUGAUGAAAAAAGAAAUUUGUUCUCUUCUGCUCCCUGUUGCAGGAUUCUUUCUCCAAGCGUUUAUUUUCUUCACCCUCUUCCAGGUUCAAGGAAGAGGACAGACAACCAAUCAAUGGCUGUCAGGUUUUAAGUCACUGAAAGAGCCACUUUAGUGGGAUGUGCCCUUGGUUAAGACUGGAACGCAUGGGAGCCUGACAGACAGUUUAGAGGAAAAGAAUCAUUAGAGCAUCCCACCAGCACAGAUGCAUUGCUGUAUCCUAAGCCAGAGCUCAGCUGUGUUAUUUACCCUAUGAGAUCGCAGCUGUCAACCUGGCCUGGCAUCACGACAGCCUACAGCGCAAAUGCCCUUAGCCAGCUGCUUGGAUUGAUGUACAAUUCCCUCUUUUUUAAUGAGAUUAGCGUUCACAAAAUGUGCUAGCUCGACAGGCAUGACAAUUUAAGUCCUCUGUUUGUUCGGGCUACAGCAGAUACAGCGGUCACUUUUAAAAUAAAACACAAUUUGAAAAGAUAACAUGAAUUCACCAGAGCUCCUGCAGUUGCUCGUUAAUCACAGGAAGAAGAGUUUCUUAUAGAUCAAUUAGGAAUGGAAAAGGACUGGAAAGGAUGCAUCUUGAAACCGUGGUAAGCGUGUAAACUUAGCAACCUACCUCCUUGCGACUAGUGUGAAGGAUCUAUUUGCCAACAAGAAAAAAAACCACCAAACAACAGAAGAUUCCAGUUUCCUGUCCAUUUCAGUCAUCAGACAUAUCUGCCGCAAUUAACACCAAAAUCGUUAAAAAAAAAGAAGAGGGGAGGUUAUGUUAAAUGCCGGACGGAUGGGAGGGUUCAAUAACACAGAGGUACUGCUAUAACUAUGGAUUAGUAAAAUGAUUUUUGCUUAUGCUUUUUUCUAAAAAAAAAAAAAGCCAGUGAAGUUAAAGUUGAAACAGUUAAAGUCAUAUGUUCACUAUAAAGACGUAAAACAUUAUUGCCAUGAAUAAUCAGUUCUUUGUUUAGAAUGCAUUUUUAAGCAGAAUGAUGAAAAUUUGGGCUCUUCUUACAGCACAAAGCAAUUAAAACGAUAAGACACAAUCAGCUUCCCUUGCAAGGAAAAUGACAAAUUCUCUUCAGUGUAUUGUAUCAAUGAUGUGCAGAUUGCAGUCUCUAACAGGACACAGCGGGGCCAUUAUCAUCUGUUGUCACCAUGUACCAUUAAAAGGUCCUUAAUCUGCAGAUUGCCACCACAAUACGCUGCUCCUGCCAGGGAUCUGCUGAGUAACAGGCCAGGACGUUGCGAAAACCUCCAGCCUCCAGGGUCGCCUGAAAAACCCGGCUCCCCGUCAGUCAAUCACUGCAACUCAAUUAAUGUAUCUGGGUCAUAAAAAUGGUUUACGGGAGCCUGAGCCGGGUUACGAAACGCAGCGCCGAGGAUCUACCGGGAGGCGGGAGAACCCAGUUCUCAACACCAGCGCCAGUUUCUGUCUUGGAGUCCUUGAAACAUCUAGACAUUUUCUUAAGAUUUCUUCUAAGGCUGUCCUGAAGCAUGUGCACACAGAACUGGGGAUCCUGGCCUAUUCUCUAGAACUGGCAGAAAUUACCUUUUGUCAUCGUAGGUUUGUAAGUUUUCACACAAGAAGUAGGGGCAAGCAAGGAACUUACGGCUUUUCUGUCAUGCAGGUGCAGUUAUCCACUUAGGUGACAGAUGCAGGCUCCUGAUUGACAUGUAACUGCUUAUUGUGCAGUAUUUUCAGGGACUCCUUAACGUCCUCAGCUUAUGGGUAGAAGGACUGGGAAAGCUCAGGAGAGAAACAGCUGAUGGACUAUGGAUGACACAAAUGCUACUGAGGGAGAUCAGGAUGAGGAACUUCCUCUACAAUGGAAAGUAAUAUUACAUUAGUGUUAUAACAGUAUAGGAUGAGGUGAAGCAGCAUAGGAAGAGAGUCAUGUCAGGGACCUGCCAGUCAUUAACUUCAGGGUACAAGUUGGCAGGACAUGAUUCCCAGUGAGAAGGUGAAAGAAGAUACCCUGGGAGACCCAGAGGAAUCCCUACUUUAUACAGUACAAAGGAGGACAAGAGACCGUGUGAAGAAAGUCACAGAGGCCACAAUCAACCCAAGAGCUCUUCAAUAAAUAGCCACGCUCAAGGUGUCGAAAUGAGACCAUGCACAGUGAAAGGAACUUUGACGUACACUGCAUGAAUUUUCAGCCAAUGUGUUUUCUCUUUAUCUGGUGCCUACUUUUCCUUCUCCUCCUCUAAACAAUGACUCCGCUUCAUGUCUUCAGAAUUUUUAAAGAUUUUUAAAGUAGCUGUUUAUUUUACAAUAGUAUACUAGUGAUAAAAAGAGAAAAAAAUACAAUUUAAUAGUCAGCAUGUUUUGGCAAAUAUAAUCAAGCUGUAUGAAGUAAUAACAUUUAAAAAGUAAUUCAUUAUAGAUAAACUGUAGUGACAGUAAAUCUUAAAACAACCAAAGAAACAAGACUGAUACUUAAAGUGUACCUUGUGUCCACCUCAGUGCCAGUAUAGGCAGAGCUCUUGAUUUUCAAGGACAGUUUGUUGCAUGGCUCAUACAGGUAUCUGUUACAUGAGCAUGCAGAAAAUCUAGCUCUAUCUUAGAGGAUCAGCUGUUGUUUUUGAAGCAGAUUCCUUUCCUGUGAUGCUAUGGAAUGGAGCGAAUGUGAGCUGCUCACUCAGACACUGUUUGCUUCUUGGAUGAGCUCAGAGGUGGACAAGAGCAGCUCUUUUUUCCUUGUGGAGGAUUUUUUUCUUUGUGCCCCUGUCCUUUCCUUCUAGAAGAGCAAUCUGAGCACUGUGUCCUGGAGACACCCUUUGCUAUCCUUCCCAGGUUCCUUCAGGGAGUAGCCUCAUUUCCUCCACAACCAUAUGACAAUUUUCUAAGCCAUUGUGUGAGGAGCUCUGUUUCUCCAAAUGGAGGAGCAGGAAACAGGUGGGAACUCAAUCCAUGUCAGUCUUACUAGCCAUAACAAGCACUGCCUGUCAGGCCCGUAGCACACCCUUCUACCCUUCUUAGGGUCUUGACCUCUUGGGCUCAAUGCCAGCUUAGAUUAUGGGUGGGAGACAUCAGGUCUUGAAUCAAAGAGGUGUUUGAGAAAAAGCUGUGCGAAAAAAAAAAAACCUUGGUGGAAAAGGCUGACCUUCUCUCAGGAAGUGUUUCUUAGCUGGUCAGUCUACCCAUGCUCUCUGUCUGAGCUGCAUUGUCACCACAUUGCAGUCGCGUCCAUGUCCAUUCCUGUGCUCCAAGCUGGCCACCCACUGUAGAUGCACUCAGGUCAGGGACUGCAAGAAGCAUACACAGCUUGUUCGCAUGGUCUCCCUGGCGCUGGAAAAAAAGCACCAUAUGUUCAAGCAACAGGAGCAAAAGGACAAGCUCAAGGCAAAGGGAGUUGAGAGCAGAACGGCAGGGAAGUGCACAGGAAAGGUGCCAGGACAUCAUGCUUCAUGCUCCCCCAUUCCUCUUUAUGGGGCACUGGUGGAUAAUGCACAGCUACCUCCUGCCCCUGCAGCUCAAAGCUUCUCCCACUUCACUUCCUGAUAUCCUGCUCCCAAGGUAGCUAUUGCGUAUAGGCACCUUCGCAUCUCUCUUACCAUUUCUGGGCAUCAUCUCCUCCAUCUGUCUUUGCCUUACAGUCUUUCAUAGCCCUUUGCUGCCUUAGUUGCCUGCUCAGCCCACUGCGCAGGUGACACUAAUAGUAGUAUUAGCAACAAACACUAUGGCGAGGAGAUCAGGUCCUCUAUAUGUGCUGUUGCCCCAGCACAGAGCUCGGCAGGCACCAGUACCUCUGUUGCUGACGCAUAAGGCACAAAGGUUGCCUGCAUCGCUGGCCAUUCACACUGGGUCUGCUGGAACCAGACUUGGACUGUAUAUGCUCUAGAUUUUUGAUUAGCACUCGAUCAACUAGGACUCUCCUUUUUUUAACAUGUAUAGUCCAGACUGAUAAUGUUUGGUAACAGCUCAUUGCCUUUGAAAUGUAUGGUUCUUUUACAUGUUUGUCCUGAAUUGGAUACAUUUGUUAUUGUUUCUGUUCCUUUUUUUUUUUACUGGCAACCAACAGAAAUAUACAUGUGUUUGGAACUGAGAUAAAAGGUUUAUUGACUCAUUUGAUAGAACUUUUAUUGAUGUAAAAGUCACUUGUAUUCAAUGCUCAGUCUCACAUGGUGAAGCACAAAAAAAGGAGCCUAUGUAAACAUCAGCACUACAAUAUACCGUGGAAAUGAUCCCUGAAGACCUCCCUACACUUUCCAGAUCAUCCUGGGGCUUCUGACAUGGUGCUCAGGAGUUACAGAGCAGCACAAGAACAUCCCAUGUCUUCUUGCCAUCAUGCCGUCUUCAUGGAUGAGGGAAACAGUGUGCCAUUGGUCCCUGGGAGUCUGCAGGCAUCUCAGUGACACUCACGUGAAUGUCCCCCAUGGGGAAGAGCUCAGCAAGUCUCAUAUUCAUCACUUUGGUGCCUUGAGAACCUACAGGCUUUAGAAAAUGAACUCUCGCUGUGGGGGUUUUUUUUCCAUUUCAGGGAAGCAAUGUGCUUGUUUUCCCCCCAGCUUGCAUUUUACAAGUCCUCUUCAAGACCAAGUCCAGCCUGCAGACAUGUGCAGGAUCUUUUAUCCCACAGGCCACCUUUGGGAAGGUCAUCACAUGAGGGCUGCACAAUGUAUAUGUGUGAAGAAACCACAUGGGCCACACAAGUCAUACAAAUCUAAACUAAAUAACAUACUGGGUUUACUAAUUUCUGGUCAUCCCAGAAGCACAGCAAAGGCCUUUAUAAUACUUAUGAAUUACUGACAGGAUAUUAUUGUGAUGCAGGAGCUGGACAAAAAUGAAAACCAUGGGAAAGAAUGUCACCAUUUCCAUGCAAGAAUGAGAGAAACAGGUGUACCUUUCAGGGACAUAUUUUGAUGCAGGUUUCAUUUUUUAGCACCUGGAUAACACUGUUGACAUCCAAAGCAUUGCUGUAAUCAGUGUUCCACAUUUACUUUCUCCUGAAGAUUUUUCUAACAAAUUGGGUCAACUUCUAAGUAAAGAAAGAGAACAUUUUAAUCUGUCAGCACUGCAAACCUAGCCCAGGAUUUUGUGUUUAGAAAUGUUGUGGACUCCGAAUUUAGCAAGUACUGUUAUUGGUGAAUAAGGUGUGAUGGUAUACAAUCUAAAACCCUAUCAUUUCUGCUUUGCUUGGCUUACCAUUAUUUUAGCAAAUGUUUUACUUUGUUAGGGUAAUUGGAGCAAAUAAGAGCUCCAUAAAGAUGCUUUUGCCAACCUUGAAAAUAAAAAAUACACCAACAUACUACCAGGUUUUUAAGCAGUAGCAUUUGUCACCUUUAUAAAGAUACUCUCUGUUAUAGACAUGAAUGCAGAUCAUAAAACUACUCUGACCAGAUCUGCAGAGGAAUCAAACAGAUGGCAGAUCCCAGUGCAGUUUGGAUGAAGAUUUCAUAGCUAGAUGAGCAAGAGAAUACUAAAGUGUUUUCAAGGUCAGCAAUGAGGUGAAAAUUGUGGCCAGAUUUCUUCUGUUAGAAGCAUGUGCAGCCUUUCUCACACAUUUAAAGGAAAUGCACCAAACCCAGAAAUUGCUUCACUACCGGGAGCAAAUGCCCUCAGUGCAAAAUGAUCCCGGCCAAAUGCCGGGUCCUGCUCUUGGGGCAUAAGAACCCUAUGCAGUGCUACAGACUAGGGGAAGUCUGGCUAGAAAGCUGCCUGGAGGAGAAGGACCUGGGGGUGUUGGUUGACAGUGGCUGAACAUGAGCCAGCAGUGUGCCCAGGUGGCCAAGAAGGCCAAUGGCAUCUUGGCUUGUAUCAGAAACAGCGUGACCAGCAGGUCCAGGGAGGUUAUUCUCCCUCUCUACUCGGCACUGGAGAGACCACACCUUGAGUACUGUGUUCAGUUCUGGGCCCUUCACCACAAGAAGGAUGUUGAGGCUCUGAAUCGUGUCCAGAGAAGAGCAAUGAAGCUGGUGAAGGGGCUGGAGAACAAGUCUUAUGAGGAGCGGCUGAGAGAGCUGGGGUUGUUUAGCCUGGAGAAGAGAAGGCUGAGGGGAGACCUUCUUGCUCUCUACGACUACCUGAAAGGAGGUUGUGGAGAGGAGGGAGCUGGCCUCUUCUCCCAAGUGAUAGGGGACAGGACAAGGGAGAAAGGGAGAAUGGCCUCAAGCUGUGUGGGGGGAGGUUCACGCUGGAGAUCAGGAAAAAAUUUUUUCUAUGAUUCUAUGAUAUUGCAACAGUGGGAGAAUUCACUUGCUAACUUACAUUUUCAAAAUGCAUAUUCUACACUACUGUUUUUUCAAAUAGUUGUUCAUGACUAUUUAUGUGUUUGUGCAUUUUCUUUAAGUCAGUCAGAUUUGCAGGUGGUCAUACAACAGUUUGUAAAUAAUAUUGGUGGUGAAUUUUGGCAACAAAAAUGAUUUGCAAAUAAUGGUUACUGUUAUUCAAUUAGUUCUGGGCCCAAUAUGCAUCUAGAGCUGUUGGUAGCUGAUUUUUCCUCUAUGCUUCUGUCUUUUAUGCCCCCACAAAUCUCUGAAUCAGUAGUUAUGGCUUUAAAUGGAAAAUUUCCUCAUUGAUUUGUUGUGUUCUUUUUAAAAAAAAAAUCCCUAUCAAUCUGACUUGUGAUAUCCAUCAGGCUCAACUACACAGAUCUGCAGGUUGUAUUUCUCUCUUGUUUAUGUCAUUAGUCUGGUUUUAGUUAAUUUUCACUCCAGAUGUCUCUUGUGCCUGGUUUGGUUUUUUGGUUUUUUUUCUGUUUAACAGGAUAUAAAUAACUUUGAUAGGCCAGAGUAGUUUACUCUGUUUUUCUUGUUUAAUUUCUGAAUACAUUUACCAGAACCUGAUCCCUCAUCAUCACGAAAUAUCUUUAACUGCCUUACGACAUGGAUUUCACUACAGUUAUUCACUUGCGUAAACUAUGCACAACCGACUGAAUAUUCAGGCUUGUAUUCUGAGUGUUCAUCUCUUCUCUCAUUAAAGGCUGAAGACCUGCUCUGGCAAGGGUUGAGUUCUGGACCUAUGAGAAACACAAAGACUCUGGUUCAGCGUGGCUGAAAGAGUGGAUGUGUGUGACUCCUACUUGCUAGAUUAGGCUGUUAUCUUCGUAAAGCGAUGCUAAGCUGAAUCAUUUUUAGUAUCUCCCUUCCAUGACAGGCAAAGGUUUUGGCUUUUACGCAUUAUCAGUGAAAGAGGUGUUGUACAACAGCAUUAGUAGACCUGCAGUGGGGCAGCUGCCAAACGAAUCAGUUCUGUGCUGCAUCAUCUUCUGCUGAAUCACUUCUAGAGCCAAGGUUUCUCUUUGAGGGGGUGGAGGUCAAGCUAGCUUCUCCAUUUCUUUUCCUGCAGGAGUUUCUGAAAAAGGGUGGUUUUGAUGCAGUGGUGUCAAUCAUACCUCAGUGGGCUGGAACAGAUGCCCACAACACGUCUUCAGUUAUGGGUGGGCUAGAUUCCUUAGCAUAUGGAUAUUUAGCUGCUGGAUUAUAUAAAACACUGCAGCAAUCAAAUACUUCCUGCUGCUCUUCCAAAGAACUACUCCAAGGACAUUCACA
Cuculus canorus (common cuckoo) is the source of this 9038-nucleotide long non-coding RNA. RefSeq lists it as uncharacterized. The record is from RefSeq and is a predicted model, not a curated record. The transcript is spliced from 3 exons. NCBI's taxonomy places the organism in Eukaryota, Metazoa, Chordata, Aves, Cuculiformes, Cuculidae.